GUUCUACUGGUGACGGGGAAUGGUACUCAGGUCCUCACACUUGAAAAACAAACAGUGCCCACCAUGCACUUGUCUCUUUCCAGUCUGUUCUUUCCCCUGAGGUUGUGUAGCCAUGGAAACAGGAACGCUGCUACUGGGAUCAGAACAAACUAGACCCUGCAAAGUUUUGAGGAUGGAUUCUAGGACAGCAUGCAUCUAGGCAAGCGCUAUACCACAGAGUUCAAGCAUUAGCCCACUUGAUGUCUCAUUUCCAAUAUGAAACACUGUCCAAGCUUGAAGAUCUCCCUGGACACAGUUCUGAUGGUCAUCUCCUGUGCCUCUCAGUAUUAUCCGUGGGGACUUCCCUUGUGUCUCAUGGGACACACUAGAUGGGCUGUUUUAAUUCAGCCUUACUGCUGAGCGGGGAAGGCUGGACAGAGUUCUCCACUAUGGCGUCUGUCUUUUGUGAAGAUUCUAAAUGGGGCAGGAAGUGACCUGAGCUAACCAUGCUUCUUCCAAAGCUACUUUUCAAGAAGAGAGCAUUUGAGGACAAAAAUUGAAUUAUAGAAACGGAGCGAGGAAAAUGAGAUGAAGCUAUUUUUGAACAGUGGCUGAAGAUAUACUUGGAAAGAGAGAUGACUGUCAUAGGGUUGAGUUCCUGGAAGCGGACUUUGCUUCAUGGAUUCUAGUCUCCUGUACCCAAAGGUGGAAAUCUUCCUCUUAAAAUUCUGCCUAGAAGUGAUAGACACAUUUCAAACUUCAGUGGGAUCUCAUUGGAAGCUCUGGAGUAGAUAUCAUGCCACACUAAUUGCAAGAG
This is a non-coding RNA of Arvicanthis niloticus (Nile rat), 796 nucleotides long. Lineage: Eukaryota; Metazoa; Chordata; Mammalia; Rodentia; Muridae. The record is from RefSeq and is a predicted model, not a curated record.